Molecule: unclassified non-coding RNA, 315 nt
Organism: Erinaceus europaeus (western European hedgehog)
Lineage: Eukaryota; Metazoa; Chordata; Mammalia; Eulipotyphla; Erinaceidae
Gene: 7SK
Rfam family: 7SK RNA
About the family: 7SK was discovered as an abundant small nuclear RNA in the mid-70s but a possible function has only recently been suggested.
Source: Ensembl
GGAUGUGAGGGCGAUCUGGCUGCGACAUCUGUCACCCCAUUGAUCGCCAGGGUUGAUUUGGCCGAUCUGGCUGGCUAGGCGGGUGUCCCCUUCCUCCCUCACCGCUCCAUGUGCGUCCCUCCCGAAGCUGCGCACUAGGUUGAAGAGGACGGCCUUCCCCGAAUAGAGACGGACUGGUCUUCAGUUGAGGGUAUAGGAGUAGCUGCACUUCCCUGCUAGAACCUCCAAACAAGCUCUCAAGAUGAGGUUAUAAUGGGACUAGUGAGUCCACCAAUUUAUUAUCAGUGGUUCAAGAUGAAUACAACCUCCAUACUU